Molecule: ribosomal RNA, 253 nt
Filed under: uncultured bacterium
Lineage: Bacteria
Description: partial 16S ribosomal RNA
Rfam family: Bacterial small subunit ribosomal RNA
Source: RNAcentral
UACGAAGGGGGCUAGCGUUGCCCGGAAUUACUGGGCGUAAAGCGCACGUAGGCGGUUUCUUAAGUCGGGGGUGAAAUCCUGGAGCUCAACUCCAGAACUGCCUUUGAUACUGAAGAUCUUGAGUUCGGGAGAGGUGAGUGGAACUGCGAGUGUAGAGGUGAAAUUCGUAGAUAUUCGCAAGAACACCAGUGGCGAAGGCGGCUCACUGGCCCGAUACUGACGCUGAGGCACGAAAGCGUGGGGAGCAAACAGG